ACUUGGUCACAGUGAGUGAAGGAACAUGGCUCUGAAUCAUGCCUGUCUGUCUCCCCAGGUCUGUGCUUAAAACCACGAAGUUCAAGAUGGAAACUGAAGGGAAGAGUGUCAAGGGGAUGGGAGAGAGGACUUGUCCAUGACUUUGGCAGCAUAAGGAAAAAAUACCCAGGGACAAGUGGCGACUUUGGAAACUCCAUUCCUCUGCAAAAUGACAUCACGAGGAGAGUGGUGGGGCCUGCGGAUGAAAAGAUCUGGCUUCUCCUCCCAACUCUGCUAUGAGGAAGCGCUGGAUGGCCCUGUCGGCCGCGGUCAUCGCCGCCUCGGCCCGGGAGCUCAGCAUUGCAGCCGCACCGGAGGCCUGAAACCGUCUCCUCCGCUACCGCCGCCGCCGCCGCCGGACCGAGGGAUACGACGGUUCCCGAGACAGCGGAACCUGCGGCCGCAGUCCCAGCACCUCGGGGGAACGUAGACCGCAGGACAGCUCCCAGGGGGACCGGAAGUAGCUGCCCCCGGAGAGCAAUAGCUGACGGACCACGUCCUUUCUUUCUUUUCCCUUAGCAACAGGCCCCGGCGUCGGUUGCUACGCUGGGCUCAGUUGCCUGGGGCUGCUUGGUUUUCAGAUUUGCUUAGGCUCCAUUCAUAAAUACAGAUGGCACACUUCUAGGAUGGACCCUGGGUCAUGAUUUGAAUUUUUCGAUGUGGGGAAGGGAGGCCAACAGCCGAAAGUCGGGUCAGGCCUCUGCUAUAAUUAGUUAUUAUUGUGGCCAGAGUGGAAAUAGGUCGCAGAGGAAGGAACUUUAAUGAGCAUGAGGCCCAUCUCUGACGAUAUCAGUAGAGAAAUCAACGUCUUUAAUAGCCAACAAACUUAUUGUUUACUUGGGUGCCAGGUAUAGAGCUAAGUAUGUUACAUUCAUUAUUUACAUUUAAUAUUCACACCAACUCUAACAUUACCCACAUUUUACAUCCCAGGGAACCCAG
This is a long non-coding RNA of Homo sapiens (human), 978 nucleotides long. RefSeq annotates it as USP30 antisense RNA 1. The record is from RefSeq and is marked validated. NCBI's taxonomy places the organism in Eukaryota, Metazoa, Chordata, Mammalia, Primates, Hominidae. The transcript is spliced from 2 exons.